RNAcentral lists this ribosomal RNA (468 nucleotides) under uncultured bacterium. RNAcentral describes it as "partial 16S ribosomal RNA". It matches the Rfam family "Bacterial small subunit ribosomal RNA", at positions 28 to 507 of the family's 1533-position model. The record is from RNAcentral.
GAUGAACGCUGGCGGCGUGCUUAAUACAUGCAAGUCGAACGGAAAGGCGCGGCUCUUGCUGGUUGGUCGAGAGGCGAACGGGGGAGUAAAACACGAGUAUACUGUCCCUAUCAUAGGGGGAACACCUGGAGAAUCGGGAGAAUACCCGGUAGAAGAUACUGAACCGCGGGGGGGGAUGGAAAAAUUCGGCGGUUGGGGCUGGAAUAGCGGCUUACCAGCUUGUUGGUGGGGUAGGGGCGUUCCACGGCUUUGACGGGUAGCCGGCCUGGGAGGGUGACCGGCCACAUUGGGACUGAGAUACGGCCCAGACUCCUACGGGAGGCAGCAGUGGGGAAUAUUGCACAAUGGGCGGAAGCCUGAUGCAGCAGCGCCGCGUGCGGGAUGACGGCCUUCGGGUUGUAAACCGCUUUCGCCUGUGACGAAGCGUGAGUGACGGUAAUGGGUAAAGAAGCACCGGCUAACUACGUG